This 443-nucleotide ribosomal RNA is filed under the name uncultured bacterium. RNAcentral's name for it is "partial 16S ribosomal RNA". It matches the Rfam family "Bacterial small subunit ribosomal RNA", at positions 338 to 795 of the family's 1533-position model. The record is from RNAcentral.
CCUACGGGCGACAGCAGUGGGGAAUAUUGGGCAAUGGGCGCAAGCCUGACCCAGCAACGCCGCGUGAAGGAAGAAGGCUUUCGGGUUGUAAACUUCUGUUAUCAGGGACGAAGCAAGUGACGGUACCUGAUGAAUAAGCCACGGCUAACUACGUGCAAGCAGCCGCGGUAAUACGUAGGUGGUAAGCGUUCUCCGGAUUUACUGGGUGUAAAGGGCGUGUAGGCGGGAAAGCAAGUCAGAUGUGAAAACCAUGGGCUCAACCUGUGGCCUGCAUUGGAAACUGUUGUUCUGGAGUGCUGGAGAGGCAGACGGAAUUCCUAGUGUAGCGGUGAAAUGCGUAGAUAUAAGGAGGAACACCAGUGGCGAAGGCGGUCUGCUGGACAGCAACUGACGCUGAGGCGCGAAAGCGUGGGGAGCAAACAGGAUUAGAUACCCUGGUAGUC